Molecule: ribosomal RNA, 460 nt
Filed under: uncultured bacterium
Lineage: Bacteria
Description: partial 16S ribosomal RNA
Rfam family: Bacterial small subunit ribosomal RNA
Source: RNAcentral
CCUACGGGAGGCAGCAGUGAGGAAUAUUGGUCAAUGGACGAGAGUCUGAACCAGCCAAGUAGCGUGAAGGAUGACUGCCCUAUGGGUUGUAAACUUCUUUUAUAUGGGAAUAAAAUGUUCCACGUGUGGGAUUUUGUAUGUACCAUAUGAAUAAGGAUCGGCUAACUACGUGCCAGCAGCCGCGGUAAUACGGAGGAUCCGAGCGUUAUCCGGAUUUAUUGGGUUUAAAGGGAGCGUAGGUGGCUUGUUAAGUCAGUUGUGAAAGUUUGCGGCUCAACCGUAAAAUUGCAGUUGAAACUGGCAGUCGUGAGUACAGUAGAGGUGGGCGGAAUUCGUGGUGUAGCGGUGAAAUGCUUAGAGAUCACGAAGAACUCCGAUUGCGAAGGCAGCUCACUGGACUGCAACUGACACUGAGGCUCGAAAGUGUGGGUAUCAAACAGGAUUAGAUACCCCAGUAGUC